AAGUACGGAGGGGGGUUAGCGUUGUUCGGAAUUACUGGGCGUAAAGCGCGCGUAGGCGGGUUGUUAAGUUUAGAGGUGAAAUCCCGGGGCUCAACCCCGGAACUGCCUUUAAUACUGGCAACCUAGAGUUCGAGAGAGGUGAGUGGAAUUCCGAGUGUAGAGGUGAAAUUCGUAGAUAUUCGGAGGAACACCAGUGGCGAAGGCGGCUCACUGGCUCGAUACUGACGCUGAGGUGCGAAAGUGUGGGGAGCAAACAGGAUUAGAUACCCUGGUAG
This 275-nucleotide ribosomal RNA is filed under the name uncultured bacterium. Its description in RNAcentral is "partial 16S ribosomal RNA". It matches the Rfam family "Bacterial small subunit ribosomal RNA", at positions 521 to 793 of the family's 1533-position model. The record is from RNAcentral.